This 492-nucleotide ribosomal RNA is filed under the name uncultured bacterium. RNAcentral describes it as "partial 16S ribosomal RNA". It matches the Rfam family "Bacterial small subunit ribosomal RNA", at positions 29 to 507 of the family's 1533-position model. The record is from RNAcentral.
AGUGAACGCUGGCGGUAGGCCUAACACAUGCAAGUCGAACGGCAGCACAGUAAGAGCUUGCUCUUACGGGUGGCGAGUGGCGGACGGGUGAGGAAUACAUCGGAAUCUACUUUUUCGUGGGGGAUAACGUAGGGACACUUACGCUAAUACCGCAUACGACCUACGGGUGAAAGCAUGGGAUCUUCGGACCUUGCGCGAUUGAAUGAGCCGAUGUCGGAUUAGCUAGUUGGCGGGGUAAAGGCCCACCAAGGCGACGAUCCGUAGCUGGUCUGAGAGGAUGAUCAGUCACACUGGAACUGAGACACGGUCCAGACUCCUACGGGAGGCAGCAGUGGGGAAUAUUGGACAAUGGGCGCAAGCCUGAUCCAGCCAUACCGCGUGGGUGAAGAAGGCCUUCGGGUUGUAAAGCCCUUUUGUUGGGAAAGAAAAGCAGCAGGUUAAUACCCCGCUGUUCUGACGGUACCCAAAGAAUAAGCACCGGCUAACUUCGUG